AUUGAACGCUGGCGGCAGGCCUAACACAUGCAAGUCGAACGAGUGGCGGACGGGUGAGUAAUGUCUGGGCAACUGCCUGAUGGAGGGGGAUAACUACUGGAAACGGUAGCUAAUACCACAUUCCAUCAGGUGUGCCCAGAUGGGAUUAGCUAUGUGGUGGGGUAAAGUCUCACCAAGGCGACGAUCCCUAGCUGGUGUGAGAGGAUGACCAGCCACACUGGAACUGUGACACGGUCCAGACUCCUACGGGAGGCAGCAGUGGGGAAUAUUGCACAAGGGGCGCAAGCCUGAUGCAGCCAUGCCGCGUGUUUGAAGAAGGCCUUCGGGUUGUAAAGUACUUUCAGCGGGGAGGCGUUACCCGCAGAAGAAGCACCGGCUAACUCCGUGCCAGCAGCCGCGGUAAUUC
This 406-nucleotide ribosomal RNA is filed under the name uncultured bacterium. RNAcentral describes it as "partial 16S ribosomal RNA". It matches the Rfam family "Bacterial small subunit ribosomal RNA", at positions 30 to 526 of the family's 1533-position model. The record is from RNAcentral.